Molecule: ribosomal RNA, 468 nt
Filed under: Tropidophis pardalis
Lineage: Eukaryota; Metazoa; Chordata; Lepidosauria; Squamata; Tropidophiidae
Description: partial 12S ribosomal RNA
Rfam family: Bacterial small subunit ribosomal RNA
Source: RNAcentral
GCUCGCCAAAUCACUACGAGUGAAAACUUAAAAUUUAAAGGACUUGACGGUGUCCUAUACCCAACCUAGAGGAGCCUGUCUAUUAACCGAUAACCCACGAUUAACCCUACCACCCACAGGCCACACAGUCUAUAUACCGCCGUCGAUUAGCCUAUCUUACAAAAGAAGCAAAAUGAGCUAAAUAGUUUCACACUAACACGACAGGUCGAGGUGUAACUAAUGGGGUGGAAAAAGAUGGGCUACAUUACUCAAUCCGAGUAAUACGAACAAGACUAUGAAACUAGUCCUCAAAGGCGGAUUUAGUAGUAAGCUAGGAAUAAAAUACCUAACUGAACACAAUGCAAUGGGACGCGUACACACCGCCCGUCAUCCCUGUCAAAAUAAACAUACAUAUAUAUAAUUAACUAACCAACACAAAGACAGGGCAAGUCGUAACAUGGUAAGCGUACUGGAAAGUGUGCUUAGAAC